UGGGUUAAUUUUGGUUCCUGAUGAAAAGAUAACAAUACAGUAAGCAUAAAGGGGAAGUUAAUAUCCUUGAGAAAGUUACAGAAUGAUUACAGUGGGGGGUGUGUGUGUUAAUAAUGCUUAUUAACAAGUCUGAAAUCUGACCCCUGAUUUCCACAUUUGGUAUUUUCAGAGAAAACAAGAGAUAGUCACAGCCAGGAUCAAUUCACAGUGCCAGUCCUGAAUACAAUAGAACAGUGAGGUACAAACCCUUUGUGUGGUCCCUGGAUAAUCAGUCCACACUACUGAUUACCUCUUUUCUCUUAGAAAGAAGUUGGAGACAUACGUCUCAAUCUUAUAUAAGAAUUCUGAGCUGGAGAUAAAGGUUUGAUGGAGGCACAGUAGGGGUCCCAGGUGGUGAAAUCACACAGGAAUAAUACAUUCUAUGGGAAGAGGAAGAAGAGCCUGUAAAGCAUUUGGAGAAGGAAUGAUCAGAGACAUGGCAGGGAAGUUUAAUAGACAUGGAUAAGAAGUCUGCUCCCAGAAAUCCUGAAGAUGCCAAGGCUGGCAAAUAUGAAGGUAAACACAAACGAAAGAAAAAAAGAAAGCAAAACCAAAACCACCACCGAUCCCGACAUAGAUCAGUGACAUCUUUUUCUUCAGAUGAUCGUAUGUUUACUUCUUCCUCAUCAUCAUCUUCAGGAAGCCAGACGGAUUCGAGUAUUGAAGAUGCUACCAAGGGAAAAAUUAAGAAGAAGAGAAGAGAGAAAACAAAUAAAUGGAGGGAAAAAAGAAAGGUAUCUUCUGAGAUGUCCAUCAUCCUUUCUGGUCCUCAGUGAUUGGUCCACACCAUUUGCCACUAAGAUGUUGUCAUUCCUGUUUCUCUGGUACCUUCAGGACAAAAUAUGAAACACCAAGAAAAAGAAAGAGAAGGAAAAAAAGGAGUAAACAACCACAUAUGUCAUCUUUCCAAGAGGGGCUGAAACCGGGCUGACCUUUUUGAUUUCCAAACUCAGCGUUUUGGUGUAAGGCGGACAAAGAAGGAUGCAGAGCCCAGCACUGUGAAGCCUACAAAAACAUUGACGCGCUGGCUUGGGGAUUUGAAUUUGGACAUCUUUCACACCGAGUUCAGACUCAUGAAACCAAUCUUCAGAUGCUCUGUAAACCACAUAAUAAAGAGUUUGGAAAUUA
This is an RNA transcript of Pongo pygmaeus (Bornean orangutan), 1167 nucleotides long. RefSeq lists it as uncharacterized. NCBI's taxonomy places the organism in Eukaryota, Metazoa, Chordata, Mammalia, Primates, Hominidae. The record is from RefSeq and is a predicted model, not a curated record. The transcript is spliced from 7 exons.